RNAcentral lists this ribosomal RNA (642 nucleotides) under uncultured Pseudomonadota bacterium. Its description in RNAcentral is "bacterial SSU rRNA". It matches the Rfam family "Bacterial small subunit ribosomal RNA", at positions 28 to 652 of the family's 1533-position model. The record is from RNAcentral. Lineage: Bacteria; Pseudomonadati; Pseudomonadota.
AACGAACGCUGGCGGCGUGCCUAACACAUGCAAGUCGAGCGCGAAUGGAGCAAUCCUAGUAGAGCGGCGCACGGGUGCGUAACACGUGGGUAAUCUGCCCAGAAGUCCGGAACAACCUGCCGAAAGGCUGGCUAAUACCGGAUAAGCCUACGGGGACUUCGGUCCCUGAAGGAAAAGGUGGCCUCUGUAUACAAGCUAUCGCUUCUGGAUGAGCCCGCGGCCCAUCAGCUAGUUGGCGGGGUAACGGCCCACCAAGGCAACGACGGGUAGCUGGUCUGAGAGGACGAUCAGCCACACUGGAACUGAGACACGGUCCAGACUCCUACGGGAGGCAGCAGUGGGGAAUUUUGCACAAUGGGCGAAAGCCUGAUGCAGCAACGCCGCGUGUGUGAUGAAGGUCUUCGGAUCGUAAAGCACUUUCGACCGGGAAGAACACCUUUUGGCUAACAUCCAAAGGCUUGACGGUACCGGGAGAAGAAGCACCGGCUAACUCUGUGCCAGCAGCCGCGGUAAUACAGAGGGUGCAAGCGUUGUUCGGAAUUAUUGGGCGUAAAGCGCGUGUAGGCGGCUUUGCAAGUCGGGUGUGAAAGCCCUCAGCUUAACUGAGGAAGUGCGCCCGAAACUGCAUGGCUUGAGUACCGG